RNAcentral lists this ribosomal RNA (467 nucleotides) under uncultured bacterium. Its description in RNAcentral is "partial 16S ribosomal RNA". It matches the Rfam family "Bacterial small subunit ribosomal RNA", at positions 29 to 507 of the family's 1533-position model. The record is from RNAcentral.
ACGAACGCUGGCGGCGUGCUUAACACAUGCAAGUCGAACGGAAAGGCCCUGCUUUUGUGGGGUGCUCGAGUGGCGAACGGGUGAGUAACACGUGAGUAACCUGCCCUUGACUUUGGGAUAACUUCAGGAAACUGGGGCUAAUACCGGAUAGGAGCUCCUGCUGCAUGGUGGGGGUUGGAAAGUUUCGGCGGUUGGGGAUGGACUCGCGGCUUAUCAGCUUGUUGGUGGGGUAGUGGCUUACCAAGGCUUUGACGGGUAGCCGGCCUGAGAGGGUGACCGGCCACAUUGGGACUGAGAUACGGCCCAGACUCCUACGGGAGGCAGCAGUGGGGAAUAUUGCGCAAUGGGCGGAAGCCUGAUGCAGCAACGCCGCGUGCGGGAUGACGGCCCUCGGGUUGUAAACCGCUUUCGCCUGUGACGAAGCGUGAGUGACGGUAAUGGGUAAAGAAGCACCGGCUAACUACGUG